This 24837-nucleotide long non-coding RNA is filed under the name Prunus persica (peach). RNAcentral describes it as "long non-coding RNA (PPER_LNC005187)". The record is from RNAcentral. Lineage: Eukaryota; Viridiplantae; Streptophyta; Magnoliopsida; Rosales; Rosaceae.
AGGUGCAAGGGUGCGAUUGGAGUGUAGGGAGGGGGGGAACAUAAAAUCCAGCUAAGAGGCCGAAACCAACCAGCUUGGACUGUACGUGUUUAAGUUGGACAAAUCUAAGGAGCCUGUGGAUGAUUGUCAAGUGACACUGCUACACAGCCCUGACCCUGAAUGCAAGAUUUCCCACGAAGUCGACCCUAACAACAAAUCAAAAACUGCACCGGUGGCCACCCGGAAGCUCAACCUAUUGGAAGGAGACAGCGUCGAUGUCAUCGCACCAAGCCACCGCGUUGCCUACCCUUUUGGUUUGGUUGUUGAGAAAGCUCAUCCCGAGUGCGAGCAGUUCGCCAAAGCACGCAAGCAUUUUCAGAACUAAUUUAAGGAAUUGAAGACGAAAACCAUCUGAAAUUAAAUCAAUCUCCAAUUUCAGUGAAUUUUUCUUUUUGAUUGCAAAGAGAGAUGAAUUUUUCUUUCUGAUAUUCACAGUUAUGUUUCGUGAAUUCACAACUAGUAUAAACAAAGAAGUGUAAUUAGAAGUGGACUCAAGUAUUAUAUCCGUGAAGAUAUUGCCAUGUCGAUUAAUCUACUCUUUUUAUUUUUUACUUUAUUAAUUCUUAAUUAAGAUUCAAUUUAGGACCUAUUUAAAGAGAAGUAAAAUACGAUUUAAAAUCUAUCUUAUAACCUAAUAAUCUCCUAAUCAAAAUACUAAACUUUUAACAUGUCACCUAUCAAUUUAGCCCUUAAUUAUACUAAGCUUAAAUUCCAUGGUCCAUACUAGUUUGAUUUUUAUUUUUUAUUUUGGUGUGAAAAUUUGGUAUUUUCUUUAAAAUAAUGUGCUAGAUAGCGUGAAAGUAGCAAAUAAAUAAUGAUGUGUGCAAAUUGGAUUUGACACACAUCACAACCCAUAUCAUCAUUAAUGCCCUAAAAAUUGAAUCAUUCAGUGCCCGGUUAAUACGUUAAGUAGUUUAUGAAAUGAUUAAGAUCGAAGAGAAUCCAUGACUUGUAAUGGAUCACUUGUUCAUUUUCUUAAAAUAAUAAAAAAAUAAAGUCGCAAUACUGACUCCAUUCGUAAUUCCAUCAAUUACUCGUCUAUCAAAAAAAUGAGUUAGUUCAGCUAAUCUUCUUAUACCGUUAGUAAAGGAUAAUGUGAAAUUAGGAAAUAAAUAAUGAUUAACGGCCCCAGAACAUUGAAUUAUUGUGUGCCUAAGUCAGAAAUUCUUCAAGGGCACGUAGACAGGUCCCCAUCUAGUAUACUAUGAGGAAAAGGACAGCCCACAACAAGUUUAUGUCUAUAAAAUCCCAGAUGCUCAUUGAAUGUCUUGUGCCUAUGAAAGAUUAAAUAUAUUUUCAUAGAAUACGUAUCAAUUGUGCUUAUUUACUUUUUACCAUGGCUCUCACAAAUCAAGACCAGUACCUCUGCUUAGCUUUUCCUUUCAUUUUGGCCAUUUGCUCCUCUCAAGCAUCGUCUCGCCAAAUUUAUUAUGUGAAAAAACCAUGUUGGCGAGACAUGAAGACUGGAUGGCUCAAUUUGGGCCAGUUUUUUUUUAUAAGGAUGCUGAGGAGAAAGAGAGGCUAUUCGUGAUAUUCAAGGCCAACUUGGAGUUCAUUAAGGCUUUUAACAAACACAUGAGCCAGAACUACUUCACUCUAAGCUUAAAUGAAUUUGCAGACCUAACCAAUGAGGAGUUUCAGGAAAUUCGUAAUGGUUACACGAAACGAUCCUCCAAAUCGAUCAUGUCCAAUUCCACGAAAGCUACAUGUUUUAGAUAUUGAAAUGUCACUGAUGUGCCUCCUUCAGUGGAAUGGAGAGAAAAGGGUGCAGUGACGCCUAUCAAGGACCAAGGCAAAUGUUGUAAGUAUUAAACAAGUUGUUAAAUGAUGACGCAUUCACUGUUUCACAACAUAACAUGUUAUUGAAUGAUGAGGCAUGUUAUUUCAAUUUUAUAGGGUGUUGUUGGGCAUUCUCAGCAGUGGCAGCUACAAAAGGGGAUAACAAGCUCAAAACCAGAAACUUAAUCUCACUAUCAGAGCAAGAGCUUGUGGAUUAUGACACGACAGGUCAAGAUCAUGGCUGUGAAGGUGGUCUAAUGGAUGACGCUUUUCAAUUCAUCCAACGGAACAAAGGUUGACAACUGAAGCUAAUCACUCCUACCAGGGUUACAACACUCAGAAGGCUGCAUCCCAAACAGUGUCCAUAAACGGGUACGAGGAUGUGCCUAAAAACAACCAAAAUGCUAUGUUGCAAGCCGUCGCUAACCAACCAAUUUCUUUUGGAAUUCAGACUAUGAUCUGAAUUAUAACUUGCAUUCUACAAAUGCUACUAAAUGAGUAAAGGUUUCGGAGAGAUUUUCAGAAUGAGAGAGAGCUUGAGGAAAGAGCAAAAAGAUGAAUUCUAUUCUUCUUCUCACACACACACUGUGCACUAAUAACAGUUGGAACAGGAAAUUCGCAAAUUACAUCAUUCAAAUCUAGCCAUCCAUUCUUCUAUUCUAAGAUUACAUCUUAGCUGUCCACUUGGACUGUAAUCCAAGGGCUCACAUUUAAAUCUGUAAAUUUAAACUAAAUACAACAUCAUAUCAGCUAAAACAGUUAUAUUUCAACACUCCCUUCUAAGUGUUUAGCUGAGAUUACUCCAAGCUUUCUUCUCAGGUAUUCAAACCAAUCUCUUGCGAGAGCCUUAAUAAAGAUGUCUGCAGUUUACUCUUCAAUUUUGCAAUAUAGUAAAUCAAUCUCUCCAUUUUGCAAAGCAUCUCGAAUGAAGUGAAACCUCCUGUUUAUAUGCCUUGUCUUAUGAUGAUGCACAUGAUUCUUGGUUAUGGCAAUAGCAGAGGUAUUAUCACAUAGAAUUGUAGUAGCACCCACAUGUUCUUCACCAAUGUCUAAGAGAACGAAGCGCAACCAGAUUGCUUGUGCAGUAGCUUCUGCUGCACUAACAUACUCUGCUUCUACUGUAGACAGAGCUACACUACUUUGCUUGACUGAAGCCUAGGAAAACACACCUGAUCCAAGAUUAAAUGCAUAUCCAGAGGUGCUUCUCAUGUCAUCCUCGCUCCCUGACCAAUCACUGUCACAGUAGCCAAUGAGCCUUGCUUCUUUUCCUUUCUCAUAUGCUAUGGCAUAAUCAAAUGUGCCUUGAAUGUACCUCAGUACCCUUUUGGCAGUUCCCAUAUGUUUUCUAGUAGGCCCAUGCAUAAAUCUAGCGAAAAGACUUGCUGCAACCAUGAUGUCCGGCCUUGUUGCAAUCAAGUACAACAGACUUCCAACUAUCUGCCUAUAAACCACUUCAUCAACUUGUUCACUCCCAUCUUCCUUGGAUAGCUUCUCAUUCAUUGCAAGAGGAGUAGCCACUGCUUUACAGUCCUUGAAGCCAAAUUUGUCUAGCAAUAUCUUAGCAUAUUUCUUCUGGUGCAAGAAAAUGUAAGACUCAGUUUGUAUCACUCCUAACCCCAAGAAAUGGUGAAGCAAACCAAGAUCAGUCAUUUCAUAUUGCAUCAUCAUUUCGGUUUUGAACUCCAUCAUGAAGGCUUUUGAGCUUCCAGUGUAGAUAAUAUCAUCUACAUAUAAAGAAACAAUAAUAAUACUACUUUCUGCAGCCUUUACAUAUAGUGUUGCCUCACUAGGACUUCUCUGGAAACUUGCCUUGAUGAAGUAAGAAUUGAUUCUUCAUACCAAGCUCUUGGAGCUUGUUUAAGUCCAUAUAAUGCCUUCUUGAGCCUAUACACUCUGUCCUCUUUGUUCUUAAUCAUAAAACCAGGAGGUUGAUCCACAUACACCUCUUCACGCAACACUCCAUUCAAGAAUGCAGACUUCACAUCUAACUGAAACAGUUUCCACCCCUUUUGUGCAGGCAAUGCCACUAAUUUUCUAAUGGUAUCCAGCCUAGCAACAGGUGCAAAAGUUUCAUUGAAAUCUAUCCCUGGCUUUUGAGAAUAGCCCUUUGCCACUAGUCGAGCCUUGUCUUUUUGAACUGUACCAUCUAAAUUCAGCUUGGUUUUAUAAAUCCAUUUGACACCAAUUACUGGUUUAUCAGUUAGUCUAUCAACCAACUCCCAAGUUUUGUUCUUCUCUAUAAUUUCUACCUCAUUCUCCAUUGCUUUCUACCAUGCUUCAUCCUUAACAGCCUCUUCAAAGGUCUCAGGCUCGAUAAUACACAAGUUACAUCUUGCAUACACUUCUACAAUACUCUUGUAUUUCAGAGGUGUGUGAUCAACAUCCAGUGAUAUUGAGUCAGGAUCAACAUGCCCCUAUUCUGAAAUCUCUUCUUGACUCAGGCUAGAAUCAUUAGAUUCCUCUUCUCUCUCAGUGAGUGUCUCAUUAAGAGGUGUUGAGAUAUCACAUUCCUUUUGUGCAUUCCAAUCCCAAACAGAUGCCGCAUUGAAUAUCACAUCCCUGGAAAUAAUCAUUUUUUUUCAGAUGCAAUGUUAUAUAGUCUGUAGCCUUUUUCAUAGUUGCCAUACCCAAGAAAUAUACAUCUUGUGCAUAGCACAAAGAACCAAACACUCUUAAAUGCUUAACUCCUAGCUUUCUACCACUAUAAGCUUCAAAUGGAGUUUUCUUGUCUAAGGCCUUAGUUGGACAUCUAUUCUGAACAUACACUGUAGUGUUUACUGCCUCAGCCCAAAAUUCUAGAGGCAUCUUCUUCUCAAUCAUCAUGCAUUUAGCCAUCUCCAUAAUUGUUCUGUUCUUUUGUUCUGCUAUUCCGUUUUGCUAUGGUGAAUAUGCCACAGUUAGCUGCCUUUCCAUUCCCAUGUCUUCACAAAAUUUGUUGAAUUCAUUGGAAGUAUAUUCUCCCCCCUGUCACUUCUUAUUUUUUUCAAUUUAUAUCCACUUUGUAGCUCAACAGUGGCUUUAAAUUUUUUUAAAGACAUUAAGGACUUCUGAUUUGUAUCUCAAGAAAUAGAUCCAACACAUAUGAGUACAAUCGUCUAUGAAGGUAAGAAAAUACCUAUUUCCAGCUUUUGUAACAGUCUGCAUUGGUCCACAAACAUUUUUGUGUACCAACUCGAGUAGGAUUGUGGCUCUGCUUGUUGCUUCUUUUGGAAAGGAAUCUCUGCAAUGUUUUUCAAAAGUACACCCCUCAACAACUUCAGUGACAAGCUUAAUUUCUGGCAAUCCAAGUACCAUUCCCUGAUCUUACAGCAACUUCAAACUGGUGAAGUUUAAAUGCCCCAUUCUUCUAUGCCAAACUAAAGUUGAUGACUCUACAUUUGCUCUUAAUGCAACCUGUAAAGUUGUGUGAAGCUUCAAAGGAAAACUUCUGUUGCCUUUCAUUUGCACCUUAGCAACUAGAUUUGAUAAAGAACAAUCAUCAUAAAUUUCAACCUUAUUGGCUCCAAAAAUCAGAACAUAUCCAUGCUUCAUCAUUUUCCCUACACUGAGCAAAUUCUCCUUGAGACCAGUGACUAACAGUGCUCCUUUGACAUACCUUCUUCCCAUCUUAGUGUCAACAACAAGAUUUCCUUUUCCAACAACAUCAACCAAUUGUCCUGUCCCCAUUGCAACUUUUGCAGUUAUAUUCCUAUCAACAUCAACUAAUACAUCUUCCCCACCAGUCAUAUGGUUGCUGCAUCUGCUAUCCAAAUACCAUACUGUUCACCCGUUUUGUGUUUGUUCCUGUGAUGGUAGGGCAAAGUUCCCUAUUGCCUUGAAAACCAUUUACUGGUCAACAAGUCAACUUUCUUUACUGUGCGAGCGUGCCACUGCUAGCAAUGAGAAAUCCUAGAAGACUUUAAAAAUAGAUAACUUGCACCCCAAGUUACUGAUUUCUAACCAAACGGUUGUGAAUUUGGGUGAGGAAUAUCUCCCAAGUAAGUUCUUUUCUUGCCUCAGACUGGUAAGUACUUCAUAAUUUUUCAUAGUAUAAAACUGGUAGUUCUAGCCAGAAUAAAUGAUGAGAAAAUGAACUAUUUUUAGGUAGAAUUGCCUUUUACAAAACUCAAAAGGGAAAAGCCAACUCUAGAAAGACAAAAAGAAGGCUGGACUUCCAUUUCUGCCUGGAUAGAUGCUUCUGAUCCGGGCUGGACUGGGUAUGCCUGUGCUGGACUGGACUGUCAGCAACUUCAAUUUCAAGUUUCAGCUCUAAAUCGAUACAAACGUUUGAGUUUGGCAGAGCUUUAAUUUAUUUCAAGCCCUGGAAGGCUUUUUGAACGGACAUAAUUACGGCCUCUUUAGUCUGAAGGGGGCAGAAGUGGCUGGACUCAAGGAUUACUGAGUUGGAACUGCACUGUGAUACUUGUUUUGCUUGAUCAGGGCUCUCCAUAAAUUUGUUGAGGUUUUCAUAUUUGUGAAAACCUAGUCUCUGCUUGUUUUGGCUUUUGCUGAACCAAAUUUGUAACAAGAGAAAUCUCGUUUUAAAUUGCUUUUGGAUGCUUCAGUUUGUUUGAAGGUUCUUUGAGAUCAAGUGAUCAUUUUGAGUUUUUGUCUUUUGACUGAUUUUUUGGUUGUUUGAUUGAUUGUCUGAUCUUUUGCUCUGUUCACCCUCUCCUAUAUUUAUAAGAGAUGCUUUGGAGUGGUGCUUCUAAUUCUUUUAAUAAUGGGCGGCAAAAUUUCUCAAAAGAUCUUUCAUUUUUAAAUGCAAAGAAAAAGAGUUUUUAUCAAUUUUGGUAGAUAAGCUUUCUAUAGUCAGUUCCUAAGGCAGUUACUUCCCUGUAUUUCUUGAAAAAGAAACCUAACCCUUCUUCCAAUUUAACUGCUCUUUGUGAGAGUUCAAACUGUGAUGGUUUAGUUUUGAUCUUCCAGAUGAACAACUCCCUGCUUCCCACUUAUCUUUUUAGAAAAUAUGGCCUGCUUAUCCCGUGGAAAUGAUGUCUAACGAAUUUUUUUGGAUAUAGAAAAGGAUUCUGAUCUUUUAGCCCCAAAGUUUCAGGGAAGUCUCUCUGCUAAUGACCUGCUUUCAUUAAUUACCAAUCAACUCUCUUGUGAUAGUUGAAAUUGUUGACUUUUCAAAGUCAUGUAUUCACUUGGGCUCUGAGAAUAGACUUUCCAAAAAUCUGCUGAUCUUAUACUCCGUGUUUUGAGAUAAAUGGUGAGUAUUUAGAUGCUGGGCCCAAUCCAAUUCUUUUUUAUGUACUCUAGUGAUCAAUUGCCACUUAAUUUGGCAUUUUUUUUUACAACUUUGCCAUUUCGUAAAAGACGUGGGCCUUUCUUCUUUUUUAAUUAUGCCAAGCCCAGUUUGAGUUGAGCUAUGGGCUGAUUUCUUUCUUUUCUUCUUUUUCGAAGCCCAAGUUUAUUGUCGUGGUUUCGACAGAUCACUGGCUGGGCUUUUUUGAAUUUUGGGCCCUCGAUUCCUGUUUAUUUUGCAAAGCCCAGACUGCUUGGGCCCUUUGGCGUUAUUCUGGGCUCUUUAGUGUUGGGCUAGGUGCACAGGAUUUUGGCCCCAACACAUACAUCAUCACAUCCUUUUACACUAGCAGAACCUUUAUUACUAGCAUAAAACAUGGUUGGUGUGGAUUCGGUCUGAGUAGCAUAGUUGAGCUGUUGUGCUGGUUUCUUGCUAUAGCAAUCUUUUGCAAUAUGACCAAAUUUGUCACAGUUGUAACAUUUUGGUUUUCCCUUAAACCGAAAAUCACCAAAAUGUAGUUCGCCACAAUGUUUGCAGGGGUUUCUGGCUCCAUCAGUUGAUAUAUUAUCCCACUUUUUGCCUUUUGUCCUCCAAUUCCUUUGAUCCCUAAAACCACUUUGACUUCCACUGUAAUUUUUUGAUUGGGAUUCACACAAAGACUAGCAAAUGCUUUCUCAGUCUUAUCUCCAAAGUGCCUAUCUAGCCAUAAUUCAAAACUCUUCAAAGAGGUUACCACUUCUUGUACCUCAAUUUCAUCCAAAUCCUUAGAAUGCUCAAUAACAGAACAGAUUGAAUCAUAAGCUGAUGGCAAACUGAUUAGUAAUUUUUGUAACAAUCCUUGCUCUAGCUAAAUCCUCUCCAUAGCUCCUCAUUUGGUUUAUCAGAUCAAACAGUUUGGUAAGAUAAGCAGAAAGGGACUCAUCAUCUCUCAUUCUCGUAUAUUCAAAUUCUCUAAGUAGACCUUGCAAUUUAACACUUCUAACCUGUUUAUCACCAUGGAAUUCCUUCAUCAAGAUAUCCCAGGCUCCCUCAGAGGUUUCUUCAUGAGAGAAUCGAGGGAAGAUCUCAUCAGACACUGCUCCUUGAAUAAGACCCAGCGCUAUAGCAUCCUUCAUGAGUAGCUCGGUGAGAGUCAUCUUCCCAGCACCACUCGAUUCUUCCUUUUCUUUCUUCUUUGCAUCAGAUUCGUCAGCUCCCUUCGAAUUUGAGCACUCUAUUCCCUUCUCAACUAAUUCCCAAAGCCCAUGAGAUUUGAAAAUGGUUUUCAUUCCUAUGCUCCAGUUUUCAUAGUUAUCACCGCCAAAGAUCGGCACUCUCAGCUCACCACCUCCAUACCCUGCCAUGUUAGACACAGAUCGCGAAACCACUUUUCCAAAUUUCAGUUCGUUUUCUUCACAGAUUUAAUCGACCAAAGUUAACAAUCGAACCUGGCUCUAAGGCCAUGUUAGAAUUCAAACUAUGGUCUGAAUUAUAACUUGCAUUCUACAAAUGCUACUGAAUGAGUAAAGGUUUCAGAGAGAUUUUCAGAAUGAGAGAGAGCUUGAGGAAGGAGCAAAAAGAUGAAUUCUGUUCUUCUUCUCACGCACACAGUGUGCACUAAUAACCUGGAACAGAAAAUUCCCAAAUUACAUCAUCCAAAUCUAGCCAUCCAUUCUUCUAUUCUAAGAUUACAUCUUAGUUGUCCACUUGGAUUGUAAUCCAAGCGCUCACAUUUAAAUCUGUAAAUUUAAACUAAAUACAACAUCAUAUCAGCUAAAACACUUAUAUUUCAACAUUUCGGUUGCCAUUGACGCAAGUGGCUGUACAUUCCAGUUUUAUUCAAGUGGUGUGUUCACUGUGGUAUAAACUUAGAUCAUGGUGUUACCGCAGUUGGAUACGGGACUAGGACUAGUAGUGAUGGGACUAAAUACUGGCUGGUGAAGAAUUUUUAGGGCACAUGGUUGGGGGAGGAUGGAUAUGUGACGAUGCAAAGGGGCAUUCCUGCCAAGGAAGGACUCUGUGGCAUUGCUAUGGAAGCUUCUUAUCCAACCGCAUGAUUAAUUAAAAUGCAUAUAUGUCAUAAUAUAGUGUGGUGUAUAAAAUAUGUAUAAUUGAAUAAUAUAGAAAGACGCUAGCUAUGAGCUGCUAUCCUUCCACUUUGAAAUCCAUGCCUCAAAACAUAGAAACAAUUAACCCAUGACGUGGAUUUGCUCUUAAAAUCUCACUCAAUGAAUUAGCAGCUAUAGCUAUGAGGUUGACAUGUUUUCAUUACCAUUGCAAGGUUAAAUCAAGUUAGAUUAAGGGUGCAUAUUUUUGCUCACCAUCAUUCUUAAUAUUUGACAUGUGUCUAUGGGUAUAACCAUAUAGUUCUAUAAAUAUAUAACUAUGAUUAUGUCAAUGAACACGUGUCAAGUGUUAAAAUGGGUAGUGAGAGUACACAUUUGGUUAAAGUGGUGAGUAAAUAUAUUCCCUUAGAGUAAUCACAUGAUCAUGUCACUGAUCCUACAAGGUAAAACUGUGAAACGACGUCAUUACACUUGUUCGGAGGUGGCAUGGAUUGGAAACACGUAAUUAACCAUAUAUAUAACAUCAAUUUACAACUUAAUUAUACUUAUUCUUAAAGCCAUUUCUGAUCGGACAUUUUUGGAGAAAUUAAUUUCUCAGGCAAGUAAAUGGCAGCAGAAGAGGACCGGAAAAUUUAGGUGCCAGUAGAAGAGAAAAACUCUCUCGCACGUACCUGGUUUAUGGAAGUUUGCUGUAACAGGAGAGCUAGAUAAAACUUAAUUUGAAAAAUUCUAGGAUACGUAACUAGAGCUUACAAGGUGGUGUUGUUGACUGGCUACAACUUCAAAUACAAACCGUUGAGCUAGCUUGCUGUGCGCAGUAUAUAAAGAUUAUUUAGGACUAGCUAGGCUCAUAAUUAAUAUAUACAUAUAUAUAUAAUUACUUUAUAUUUUUAAAGAGGGGGAAGUACAAUAUUAUGAUGAAGAGAUGAGUCUUUUUGCCAAUUAAAAUGCACCAUUUAUAUAUUCUGUAUCCAGAUUACCUUUUGCAUGAUCUUGCCAUGAACAUCCAAAAAUGCACCAAUCUAGUUAAAAUUCAAAACAAAUUUAAAGAUUUUUACAUCGUAGUUAAAGGAAAUUCAUUGUUCCUAUAACUUGUGCUUCCUAUACACACACAAAUUCCAUGAAUCAAUUGACAAUGUGAUAUUAAUAUUACCAUAUAACAUUUUCAACAUUUUCAUCUCGUCCUAGCAUUCAAGUAAAGAAAAGAAUACACGUAUACUUGGAUUGUUGAUGUCUAACUUUGACUCAACGGAUUAAGAUCGUAAAAACGACACAUUCACAUCAUGACACACACUCAAGUCAGGCUACGUCCAUAAUAUACAAUUAGUGAACUGAAUUACAUGAAUCUACAAGUACGGGAUAUAAAAGCUACAAGCCCUACAUGCUACAAUAUCUGUCCUAUUUUUGGGUCAACUGUUCCUUAUUCUCUUUGAUAGUACAAUCGAGUUUACAUGUUAGGAUCCUAACGGGGAUAUUAAAUGCUGAAAAGGAAAUAAUCAAUUCCCAAUAAGCCCUUAAGAUCGUCUAACCAAGAUACAAGCCUCAUAUAUAUCUUAACAAAUCUUUCUAGUUCUUAAAGGUUAUAGCAUCCAUAUAUAUAUAUAUAUAUAUAUUUCUCUCUCUCUUUCUCUCUCUCUCUCUCUCUCUCUCUCUCUCUCUAUAUAUAUAUAUAUAUAUAUAUCCUCUCAUAUAAGUCCAAAUUAUCAUGAUAUUUACCCAUCGCAUUAUGAUAUUUGUCUUUAAAGAAUUAAUUAACAUACAUAUCACCGCGCAGAAAAUUGAUUUAUGUCUUCAAGACGUCUAUAGAGCAUUAUUAAACUAACCCUAAAAUAAAUAUAUUUUUAUUCUUAGUGUAAUGUGGAAAUAUCUAUAGAAUAUUUCACCAAUAUAGAAGAGCGGCUAUACUCAACAAAUAGAAUUUUCAAUAGUCUAGCCGAGUGGCUGUACUUUAUAAAUAGAAAUUUUUUAACAGUACAACCGCAUGCCUAUAAUCUUUAAAUAGAAAUUUCAAAAUUAUAGCCGCCCGGCGAUACUAGUUAAAUAGAAUUUUUCCAACAGUAUAGUCGCACGGAUAUACAAAAUUGCUUUUCUCAUUCAACGAAGUAGUUUUUCAUUUUUAUUUUUUCUAUAACGAGGCGGAUCAGGGAACCAGUUCCUCAAUGAAGGCUGGUAUGGGCCAAUGGCGGAUUGAAGACCGACAUAUUCUGAAUAUGGGCACCAAUAUACCGGUCGACUAGUUCUCCUAGCCAGUGGCAGUGGUUGCGGUUGAUUUCCCCCAUGAUCACCUAUUGUACAACCUUUGCCUUUUCUGUGUCUUGGUGUUUCACCAUUUUGGCCAACCAUAGUCUCCAGUUCCUCGGCCAUACUUAAUUCCAGUCACCUUAAAUGUAACCCAAAAUACUUGGUCGAACUCAUUCAUUUUGGCCCGCUUUAGGUGGCGUUUGGCAGUGCUUAAUUUUUUUUUAAAGCAACUUUAAUAAAAAUUUGGCAUGAGUUGGGUGUUUGGUAAACCCAAAAAAACACGCUUAUUUUAAAAACACCCAUCAUAAAAAGCAAGUCAGGUAUAUGGAGCUUUCAAAAGUUGCUUAAAAAAAGAGCCGGUUUUCUUGUUAAUGAAAGUUUCAUUAUCCCUAUAAUACCCCUCAGUAUUUCACAAAAUGACAACAUUUGACCCUAUCACAAAAUAGAUCUCGCGACCUUCACACUCUCUGACCUUUACUCUCAGACUGCUCUUCUCACUAUUCUUCUUCUUCCUCCCCCUGCAUCUCAAAACUCCAUCUCAAUCAAGGACGUUAAUUGCCAACAACAAUCAGCUACUUAUCAGUGAGUUCAUCUUCCCAUUACAUUUAUGAUUUUUGGGUUUAUAUAUGUUAUGAAAUUAGGUUUUUCAUUUGGUUCUAUGCAAUUGGGGGCUUUGUGUUCUUGAGGCUUUAAGGGGAAAAUACGGGAGAGACAGAGAGAGAGUUUUGCUGCAAGUUUUGUACUGGGUUUGUCUCUCCUUGCUCUUUGGCAAGGAGAGAUUUCUCCCUUGCUUGGUUCAAUUGGCCUUUGGGUCAGAUACUUCUCUCUCUGCUUCUGUUUCUCUGAAACAUGUCUGUCCUUGAUGCUUUGUUUCUCUAGAUUACACAACCAUCAUUGUUCAUAGAUUUACUCAUUGUAUAGUUUGGUACAGUUCCAAAAUAUCAAGAACAAAACCCGCUAGGCAAAUCUGGUUCUUUAUAGACAUAAAUCUAUAUAUAUAUAUAUAUAUAUGAUUGCAACCCAAGUCCCCAUGUAAUGACCCAAACCUAAAAUUCAUUUAUAAUUAGUAAUUUAUUAUGAGGAAAGACAAUUUUGUUCUUGGAAUAAAUUAUGAACGCAAAGUUGACUUUUUGACCGAAAAGGAAUUUGACAAUUUCACUUACACCGUUGCAUAGAGCACGACAAAAUGAGUUCGUAGACACGAAGUGGGCUCGAAUUGGAACUUUAACGAAGAAAAUACUAUUAAAAUAUCACGAAGGGCAAAACGGUAAUUAGAAAAAAUCAGAUUUUUUUAUAUAACCUCAGUUUCUCUCUCUCUCUCUCUCUCUCUCUCUCUCUCUCUCUCUCUCUCUCUCUCUCUCUCUCUCUCUCUCUCUCUCUCCCUCCCUCCCGUCGCAAACCCCCCCCAACAGUUGGUUUUGUUCGAUCACCGUCGCCGCCACAGAGCACCGCCGGCGACGAGACCGGUCCCGUUUGAACCGUCGCCACCUCCUCUUCCCUUUCCGACCACUCUCCGCCCGUGGAACUGCCGAUGCUGGCCGAAAACUGAAGAAAACCGAUCAGUUUUGACAGAAAUUUCAACCCAUUCUUUCUCCUUCAAUUCUCCUCCAAAUUUGUCGAGUAAGGUAUGGAUUUCUACCUAUUUUCCAUGCUCUAGCUGAUGGUUGGGUAGGUUUGCAUCGAUUUUGACCGUAGCUAGCUCAGUUUGUAAUUUGGAAUUCGGUCGAUUUUCGGCCUCCGUGUUUGGCCACUUCCGGUCAGUUUUUGGGGUUGGUCCAAGAACAAAAGUGGUUCCAAAAAUGGUGUUAUACGUAGGAUAGGAGUUUGGAACCUUGGUUUUGAGAUUUUCCGGCGAUGCGUAAUCGCUUUGGACACCCAUCGCUGCCGGCGCGUGCGGCGGUGCGUGAGAAAGUGUAGUGCAGUGGUACAGUGUUCUGAUGUGAUCCUUAGGUUGUCACGAGCGCAUAGGAAUUCACGGAUCUCAAUUUGGAUACCGUUUGAGCGUCGAACGGAUUUUCCAUAUUGUGCGAUUAUCGGGUUCAAUACUGUUGACCGUUGGAUCGUAACCAGGUUCAGAUAUGUUAUUCUAGAUAAUUUUAGAAACGUGUAGGAUUCGACGGAUAGUGAAUCAGAGUCCCGGAUACUUCGAAAACGCGAACCCUAGGGCUAGGGUUUAAAAAUUAUGCGAUUACACGAUCGUGAUUAAUCCAACCGUCCGAUUGACAUCAAUACCCUCGGGACAUGUGUCCUAAAUAUAUUGGACCUUCGAGCGGCUUCCGGAUCAUAUUGUGAGGUCAUGGACCCGUGGGGUUCCGGAUUGAUUUUUUGGGCUUUAGCGCUUUUUGAGUCCCAAGAUACCGCUAAACUAUCCCACGUGGAAGGAAAGCUUUUAUGGGCAUAGGGAUAACUUUAAAUUGACGCACGUAUCUUUAGGAGUUGGGGGUAGGGUUUUUAAUUUAAUACUAUAUUGUAUUAAUAGAAUAUUAUGGUCAUUGAAUCAGGCACCCGGGCACCAGUUGACCCGCAGGAGGGACCUUCAAGAGGUCCAGCGAGCUCGGACUAUCAGUGAGUGGACUCUUUGUUUUAAUAAAUGAAUUUAAGCAGUUCAGUUUCAGUUAUAAGCUGUUUAUUCUGUUAAAUAUUUUAUGUUGCAUGCUGUCGAGUGAAAUCUCCUUUAAAGAAUAUAGAAAAAGAUAUUAUCGUUAAUUAUCAGAUAAAUGGCAGCAGAAUUUUAAAAGUUACAGAAAGUUAAUUAUUCAACAGUUUUGUUUCAAAAACUUUAUAUUUUCUUCAACCACCUUGUACCCAGAUAUUAAGUGUUGCCUUCGGAUUAUAUUUGUUGCCUUCGGUUUAGUCGGCAUGCUUGACAGUUGCCCCACGAGUUCCUUGGUACUCGAACUCGUGUGGAGCGAGUAAUGCGGAUCAGGUGAACUACGGUCCCCUGAAUCCUGCGAGUUGCGGCUUGGAUUGACUUCGUGUGAUUGAGACCUGCGAGUAUGUGUCACCCAUGGUGAUGCAAGGAAUUGACAGAAAUAAGGGUACACCUAGGUGAUAGUUUUAAACUGUUUUCAAAUGUAUAUAAUUAUAUACAUUCAUUGAUUUCAUAAAUAAAGAAAAUAAGCUAGUUUAUAUAACUAUGUUUACAGUGGGGUUAGUAUGUUCUUAUACUAUUUUCGAAACUUUGUUUUUGGGUCCACUCACCUUUAUUGUUGUUUUGCGCCCCUAGGGAGUAGACGUGUACAGGAAUCCACUACCGGGCCACUUCCCAUCUUCUGCGCCUUUCUUUGAUGUAGGAUUUUUGUUUUGUAAAAAGAUUCACUCCUUUCUAAAUUCUUAGUAGUCGCUCUGAUAUUUUGCCCUAGACUAUGAAUUGAACUGUUGGAAUGUAUAUAUACGUAUGCUGGCAGUUGGGUGUAUAUAUGUAUACUUGUUUGGCAGGUGAAAAUACUUUGUAUUGAGCCAGUUACAAGGGAAACUCUGCCGGUUUUUCGGUAGAUGUUAACUUUAUUAUUUUAUCGGGUUUUGUAUAGAAGGGCAAAUAGGUCAUUCGACAUUUGCCAGGUGUCGGAUACGCACAGGGUCUGGUUCAGAUUCCAAAGCGGAAUUUAGAUCGAGUCCUGUCAACUUGGUAUCAGAGCGUUAGGUUUAAUUUCCUGUAGACUUUGCACCUUGUGCAUCCUCGUUUUCCUGAAAAUCUGUUUCUUGUGACAGUAAGAUGGGCCCUAAACUUGGUGGUGUCCGUAGAGGGACUAGACAGUCGUCCCGACAAAGGGGACAGGAUCCCCUGCUCGGGCAUGAGGAAGUUCAUGUUCCUGUACCGGUACCUGAACUGGUAGAGCCGUCUGUAGUUGGAGGCCCGUCAGGAGCCGUACUUGCUAUGCAGGGAGAUCCCAACUUCCAGCAGACUUUGGAGUUGCUGACUCAGGCUUUAGCCAGGACUGGGCAGCCCAGAGAUCUCUCCCUGGGAUAUGCUGAUCAAGCAAAGAGGAUUGGGGCCACUGAUUUUGAUGGUGAUGGUACCCCAGCAGUAGCUGAGGAAUGGAUUGAACAGAUGGAGCGGAUUAUGGAGGUCAUGGCUGUUCCACAGAACAGUAGGGUUACUCUGGCCACCUUCUUCUUGAUCAGAAAUGCCAGACAUUGGUAGGAUUCAGUCAAGAGGAGAUAUAGGGAUCCUUUAGCCAUUACGUGGCAAGUUUUCAGAGCUGCCUUUGACAGUAGUAUUACCCACAAGCAUACCAGAAUGUGAAGAUGCAAGAGUUUUUACAGCUGGAACAGGGGAUGAUGACUGUAUUAGAGUACGAGAAGAAGUUUCAUGAUCUGUCUAAGUAUUGUCUCCCACUGGUGGAGGAUGAAAGUAAGAAGUGUUAACUAUUCACUAUGGGGUUAAAGGCCUCCAUCUGAGAUAUUGUGAUCAGUCAGCGGUUGACCCUUCAUCCUAGAUAUUGUGAUCAGUCAGCGGUUGACCAAUUUUAGUGAUGUGGUGAUGUCUGCCUUGCUAAUUGAAAGUAGCCAGAUGAUAGCCAGACCACGGGGUGAACUCCGUAGGCAGCAGUUUGAAAUAGGAGGUCCUAGUCAGGGAUCAUCUAAGAGAGGCAGUUACAGUUCGGGAUCAUCUAGUGGUUGCAGCUAUGGAGGUUACCGACCUGGAUUCAGCUCCAGCGGAGGUUCCAACCAAAGUAGCAGUUCUGGAAACCGCUCUGGGGGUAGUGCAGGUAAAGGUGCUGGAAGACAGUUGCUGUCAGGAUCUGGCGGGUGGAGUCACUCCCAAUAUGCCAGAUGUGGUAGGUACCAUUCUGGGCCUUGCCAGCAGGGCACUACUGGAUGUUAUUACUGUGGACAACUUGGACAUUUUCAGAAGGAUUGCCCACUGUUCCUUCAGACUAGAGAGACCACAGAUGCGUCAACUCCAGGGACAGUUAUGCAGGGUAGAGCACAGGAGAGACCACCGUUUGUAGAGGCUUCGUCUAGUGGGGGUGCCCAGACCAAUGUUGCCAGUUGAGGCAGUAGUCAGCAGAGGGGACGUGGUGGACGUUCCAGAGCCACAGGCAGGGUGUAUAACAUGUCCCAGCAAGAAGCACAUGCAUCAUCUGACCUAAUUACAGGUAUUUUACCGGUCUUUGGCAUUCCUGCUAGAGUUUUGAUUGACCCUAGGGCUACGCACUCGUUUGUCACACCUAGUUUUGCUCAUAAUGCCAAUGUUAGACUUUCGGCUCUGCAGACUGAACUGGCGAUCUCAGUACCUACAAGAGAGAUUUUUAGGGUAGGUACAAUGUAUCGCGAUAGUACAGUGAUGGUGGGAAAUGUAUUUUUAGAGGUAGAUUUAAUUCCCUUGGGCAUGGUUGACUUGGAUGUCAUCUUAGGGAUGGAUUGGUUAGCCAGACGUCGUGCCUCAGUAGAUUGCUUCAGGAAAGAAGUUGUAUUCCUAGUCCCGGACAACCUGAAGUAACUUUUUAUGGCGAACGUAGAGUGCUUCCAUCUUGCCUCAUUUCAGCUAUGACGGCAAAACGAUUGCUGAGAAUAGGGUGCUCAGGAUAUAUAGCACAUGUCAUUGAUACCAGAGAUAAUAGGCUGUGAUUGGAAGAUAUUCCAGUCGUACAGGAAUUUCCAGAUGUCUUUCCUGAGGAUCUUCCUGGAUUACCUCCUCAUCGGGAGAUCGAGUUCAUUAUUGAGCUUGCUCUAGGAACAAAUCCUAUUUCUCAAGCACCAUACAGAAUGGCACCAGCAGAGUUGAGGGAAUUAAAAAUGCAGUUACAGGAGCUGAUAGAUAAGGGUUUCAUUGUACCCAGUUUUUCUCCUUGGGGUGCUCCAGUAUUGUUUGUUAAGAAAAAGGAUGGCACCAUGAGGUUAUGCGUUGACUACAGACAGCUGAACAAGAUCAAAGUGCAGAAUAGAUAUCCAUUGCCCCGCAUUGAUGAUUUGUUUGAUUAGCUAAAGAGUGCCAAGGUAUUUUCCAAAAUUGACCCGAGGUCUGGAUAUCAUCAGUUACGGGUUAGAGAAGAGGAUGUGCCUAAAACCGCAUUUUGAACGAGGUAUGGGCACUAUGAGUUCCUAGUUGCCAAUUGACGAAUGCACCAGCUGCAUUUAUGGGCCUCAUGAACAGAGUGUUUCGACGUUACUUAGAUCGCUUCGUGAUUGUGUUCAUAGAUGACAUUCUGGUGUAUUCUAAGAGUCAGAAGGCACAUAUGAAGCAUUUAAACAUCGUGUUGAGGACCCUGAGAAGGAGGCACCUUUAUGCCAAAUUCAACAAGUGUCAAUUUUGGUUGGAUAGAGUGAGUUUCUUGGGACACGUGAUCUCUGCUGAGGGCAUUUUGUUGAUCCUCAAAAGAUUGAAGCAGUAGUAAAUUGGCUACGACCAACUAGUGUUACUGAGAUACGAAGUUUUCUGGGGUUAGCCGAGUAUUACCGUCGCUUCGUGGAAGGGUUCUCUACCAUAGCGGCACCUCUCACCUAUUUGACAAGAAAAGGAGUUAAAUUUGUGUGGUCAGAUAAGUGUGAGGAAAGUUUCAUCGAACUCAAGACCAGGCUAACCACUGCUCCGGUUUUAGCACUUCCGAAUGAUAGUGGAAACUUCGUAAUCUACAGUGAUGCGUCUCAACAAGGACUUGAGUGUGUGCUGAUGCAUCAUGGUAGGGUGAUCGCUUAUGCUUCUAGACAACUGAAGAAGCAUGAGCUGAAUUAUCCUGUUCAUGAUUUGAAACUUGCUGCAGUAGUUUUUGCCUUAAAGAUUUGGCGGCAUUACCUUUAUGGGGAAACAUGCCAGAUCUUUACAGACCACAAAAGUUUAAAGUAUUUAUUCACCCAGAAGGAAUUAAAUUUGAGGCAAAGAAGAUGGUUAGAGCUGAUAAAAGAUUAAGACUGUACCAUCGAGCAUCACCCAGAAAAAGCUAAUGUUGUGGCAGAUGCACUCAGUAGGAAAUCUUCAGGAUCUGUAGCUUAUCUUCGAGGAAGAUAUUUGCCAUUAAUGGUAGAAAUGAGGAAGCUCAGAGUUGGGCUAGAUGUGGAUAAUCGAGGAGCACUGUUAGCUACCCUCCAUGUGAGACCAGUGCUAGUAGAACGAAUACUCGCAGCUCAAUCUCAGGAUCCUUUAAUUUGUACGUUGCGAGUGGAGGUUGCAAAUGGCGACAGAACUGAUUGUUCUGUAAGAAAUGAUGGAGCAUUAAUGGUAGGUAACAGGUUAUAUGUCCCUGAUGAUGAAAGUCUAAAAAGGGAGAUUCUUGAGGAAGCCCAUGAAUCAGCGUUUGCAAUGCACCCUGGAAGCACAAAAAAUGUAUCAUACUCUGAGAGAGCACUAUUGGUGGCCUUUUAUGACGAAAGAAAUAGCAGAGUAUGUCAGAAGGUGCUUAAUUUGUCAGCAAGUGAAAGCUGAGCGACAGAAACCAUCAGGGCUAUUGCAACCACUUCCAAUUCCUGAGUGGAAGUGGGAGCGGAUUACGAUGGAUUUUGUGUUCAAGCUUCCCCGAACACAGAGUAAGCAUGAUGGAGUAUGGGUAAUUGUGGAUCGACUCACCAAGUCCGCUCAUUUUCUGCCGGUGAGAGCAAAUUAUAGUUUGAACAAACUGGCUAAGAUUUUCAUAGAUGAGAUCGUGAGACUUCAUGGAGUACCACUAUCCAUUGUUUCAGAUCGAGACCCACGGUUUACAUCCCGUUUUUAGACAAAGUUAAAUGAAGCUUUUGGAACCCAAUUGCAGUUUAGUACUACAUUUCACUCCCAGACAGAUGGUCAAUCUGAGAGGAAAAUUUAGACACUAGAAGAUAUGUUGAGAGCCUGUGCACUUCAAUUUCAGGGUGAUUGGGAUGAGAAGUUACCACAUAUGGAGUUUGCAUAUAAUAACAGUUAUCCAGUGAGUAUCGGAAUGUCUCCAUUUGAUGCCUUGUAUGGGAGACAAUGUAGAACUCCAUUCUAUUGGGAUAAAGUGGGUGAACACAGAUUGGUCGUAUCUGAGGAUGUUGAAUUGACCAAGAAACAAGUGCAAAUCAUUAGAGAACGACUCAAAACAGCCCAAGACCGACAAAAGAGCUAUGCGGACAAUAGAAGAAAAGAUCUUUAGUUUGAAGUUGGAGACUGGGUAUUUUUGAAAUUAUCACCUUGGAAAGGUGUAGUGCGAUUUGGGAAGCGGGGGAAACUAAGUCCUUGCUAUAUCAGACCCUAUGAGAUUAUAGAGCGUGUGGGUCCAGUAGCUUACAGGCUUGUUUUGCCUUCAGAUCUAGCUUGAUUGCAUGAUGUUUUCCACGUCUUCAUACUCCGAAAGUAUAUUUCGAACCCUUCCCAUGUGUUAGAGGAGCAACCAGUGGAGUUGAAGGCUGAUUUCACUUAUGUGGAGCAACCAGUUCAGAUUUUGGAUUGGAAGACGCAAGUGUUACGAUCGAGAGAGAUUCCACUUGUGAAGGUUUUAUGGAGAAGUCAUACUGUAAAAGAGGCUACAUGGGAACCCGAAGACCAAAUGCGGGGAGCAGUACCUUCACCUCUUCGAGUGUCAGGUGCGUAAAUUUCGAGGACGAAAUUUGUAUAAGAGGAGGUAGGUUGUAAUGACCCAAACCUAAAAUUCAUUUAUAAUUAGUAAUUUAUUAUGAGGAAAGACAAUUUUGCCCUUGGAAUAAAUUAUGAAUGUAAAGUUGACUUUUUGACCGAAAAGGAAUUUGACAAUUUUACUAACACCGUUGCGUAGAGCAUGGCAAAAUGAGUUCGUUGACACGAAGUGGGCUCGAAUUGGAGCUUUAACGAAGAAAAUACGAUUAAAAUAUCACGUAGGGCAAAACGGUAAUUAGGAAAAAUCAGAUUUUUUUUUAUAUAACCUCAGUUUCUCUCUCUCUCUCUCUCUCUCUCUUUUUCUCUCUCCCUCCCGUCGCAAACCCCCCCCCCCCCCCCCGACAGUUGGUUUUGUUCGAUCACCGUUGCCGCCACAGAGCACCGCCGGCGACGAGACCGGUCUCGUUUGAACCGUCGCCACCUCCUCUUCCCUUUUCAACCACUCUCCGCCCGUGGAACCGCCGGCCCUGGCCGGAAAUUGAAGAAAACCGAUCGAUUUUGACAGAAAUUUCAACCCGUUCGUUCUCCUUCAAUUCUCCUCCAAAUUUAUCGAGUAAGGUAUGGAUUUCUACCUAUUUUCCAUGCUCUAGCUGAUGGUUGGGUAGGUUUGCAUCGAUUUUGACCGUAGCUAGCUCAGUUUGUAAUUUGGAAUUCGGUCGGUUUUCAGCCUCCGUGUUCGGCCACUUCCGGUCAGUUUUUGGGGUUGGUCCAAGAACAAAAGUGGUUCCAAAUAUGGUGUUAUACCUAGGAUAGGAGUUUGGAACCUUGGUUUUGAGAUUUUCCGGCGAUGCGUAAUCGCUUUGGACACCCAUCGCUGCCGGCGCGUGCGGCGGUGCGUGGACGAGUGUAGUGCAGUGGCACAGUGUUCUGAUGCGAUCCUUAGGUUGUCACGAGCGCAUAUGAAUUCGCGGAUCUCUAUUUGGAUACCGUUUGAGCCUCGAACGGAUUUUCCAUAUCGUACGAUUAUCGGGUUCAAUACUGUUGAGCCGUUGGAUUGUAACCAGGUUCAGAUAUGUUACUCUAGAUAAUUUUAGAAACGUGUAGGAUUCGACGGAUCGUGAAUCGGAGUCCCGGAUACUCUGAAAACACGAACCCUAGGGCUAGGGUUUAAAAAUUAUGCGAUUACAAGAUCGUGAUUAAUCCGACCGUCCGAUUGACACCAAUACCCUCGGGAAUGUGUCCUAAAUAUAUUGGACCUUCUGGCGGCUUCCGAAUCAUAUUGUGAGGUCAUGGACCCAUGGGGUUCCGGAUUGACUUUUUGGACUUUAGCGCUUUUUGAGUCCCAAGAUACCGCUAAACUAUUCCACGUGGAAGGAAAGCUUUUAUGGGCAUAGGGAUAACUUUAAAUUGACGCACGUACCUUUAGGAGCCGGCGGUAGUGUUUUUAAUUUAAUACUAUAUUGUAUUAAUAGAAUAUUAUGCUCAUUGAAUCAGGCACCUGGGCACCAGUUGACCCGCAGGAGGGACCUUCAAGAGGUCCAGCGAGCUCGGACUAUCAGUGAGUGGACUCCUUGUUUUAAUAAAUGAAUUUAAGUAGUUCAGUUUCAGUUAUAAGCUGUUUAUUCUGUUAAAUAUUUUAUGUUGCAUGCUGCCGAGUGAAAUCUCCUUUAAAGAAUAUAGAAAAAGAUAUUCUCGUUAAUUAUCAGAUAAAUGGCAGCAGAAUUUUAAAAGUUACAGAAAGUUAAUUAUUCAACAGUUUUGCUUCAAAAACUUUAUAUUUUCUUCAACCACCUUGUACCUAGAUAUUAAAUGUUGCCUUCGGAUUAUAUUUGUUGCCUUCGGUUUAGUCAGCAUGCUUGGUGGUUGCCCCACGAGGUCCUUGGUACUCGAACUCGUGUGGAGCGAGUAAUGCGGAUCAGGUGAACUACGGUCCCCUGAAUCCUGCGAGUUGCAGCUCGGAUUGACUUCGUGUCACUGAGAUCUGUGAGUAUGUGUCACCCAUGGUGAUGCAAGGAAUUGACAGAUAUAAGGAAUUGAAGGAAAUAAGGGUACACCUAGGUGAUAGUUUUAAACUGUUUUCAAAUGUAUAUAAUUAUAUACAUGCAUUGAUUUCAGAAAUAAAGAAAAUAAGCUAGUUUAUAUAACUGUUUUUACAGUGGGGUUACUAUGUUCUUAUACUAUUUUCUAAACUUUGUUUUUGGGUCCACUCACCUUUAUUGUUGUUUUGCGGCCCCAGGCAGUAGACGUGCACAGGAAUUCACCACCGGGCCACUUCCCACCUUCCGCGCCUUUCUUUGAUGUAGGAUUUUUGUUUUGUAAAAAGAUUCACUCCUUUGUAAAUUCUUAGUAGUCGCUCUGAUAUUUUGCCAUAGACUGUGAAUUGAACUGUUAGAAUGUAUAUAUACAUAUGCUGGCAGUUGGGUGUAUAUAUGUAUACUUGUUUGGCAGGUGAAAAUAUUUUGGUAUUGAGCCAGUUAAAAGGGAAACUCUGCCGGUUUUUCGGUAGAUGUUAACCUUAUUAUUUUAUCAGAUUUUGUAUAGAAGGGCAAAUAGGUCAUUUGUGCCCGACAUUUGCCAGGUGUCGGACAUGCACAGGGUCUGGUUCGGAUUCCAAAGCGGAAUUUGGAUCUGGUCCUGUCACCCCAAGUCAGGUCCGUGUUGAUUUUUUCAUUGUCCUAACCUUGUUGUCUUCAAGCUCAAACAUAAUUCCUUUGGACUUUAGUUUUAGUUCUCUUUUAGUUAGAAGACAAGAAAAGAGUGAAGAAGCCAUUAGCUCCAGAUCUGGGGGCUUCUCUUUUCUCAAGAAUGAAAAAAAAAAGAAAAAAAGAUCCUAUUCUGUGAAACUGCUGUUCCAUCUAAGUUGUCGUCCAUUAUUGUGUUAGAAGAUUUUUGGUGAACAAAGCUUUUAUUUUUUAGUGGUCAUAGUUUCAAGUUCUUCCUUAUUAUUAUUUUUUUAGUGUCGGUGGACUUUAUUAUUGUGUUAGAAGAUUUUUGAUUGGGUAAUGGUUUGAAGUUCUUCCUUCUAUUUAUAUUUUUUUUGUGUUUGUGGGCUUUAUCAAAAGUGAUUGUAGCAUGCUGGUCACUGUGGUGGGGAACUCAAAAACUGACAUAUGGUUGAAAUAUAAAAUUUUUGUAAAUUGGUAUGAAAUUGCAUUCUCAGUAAAUUAUGGGAAUGCAAUAUCAUCUUGCCUUAGAACAUAUGAUAGAAACAAAACAUUUUAACCACAACACAGACUUAAGAGAUUCAAUAAACUGUUCCCUAGUAGGCUGGAAAUAUUGGCUAAGACUUUAUGUUAUCUUUGUCUCCUCUUGGCAGAAUAGGCUUGCUAGUUCCUCAAGUAAUAUAUGUUAAAGAUUAGGAAAAUUAUAUAGUUCUUGUUCUUAGGUCAAUUGUGAAGGUGAUCAGUUUAUUUUCAUGUGUGGAUUCUUUUUGUUCAUGGUUUUCUUUCAUGAAUCAUUAGGAAUACUCUAUGCUUGGACUCCUUGUCCCUUGUUGAGAUUGAGAAGUGGGUUUAAGGAAGUUUUGUUGGGAGCCGUCAUCAUUUUUAAACAUAUAGCAUAUAGUGGAUAAUAUAGAUGAAUAUUCAUACCUGUGGGAAAAUGAAAGUUUGCUAUUUUUAUGCUUUUAGUAUAAUGUAUAUUGGGACAAUUGUUUGCUAUUAUCUAUUUCUCAUACUCAACACAUAUUGCUUUAGUAAGGAUGGGAAAGAAUGUGAAAAGUUCAUCAAAAGCCCCAGCGACAUGGAAUAACCAUAAUAUAUCCAUAUUCUGUGAUUUGUGCAUCAAGGAGAUAUGCCUAAUUAUCUAUUCAACAAGCAAGUGAAGAUAGUCAUUGCUACAAUGACACUUCAUAAUUAUAUAAGGAGGCAUGCCCAACGUGAUAGACAUUUUGAUGCUUCAAAUGAUAUCUUAAGUGAAGAGAUAGGUGAGGAUGUUGAUGUACAACAAGAAGUUCAUAGUCUUAAUGACAAUGGAACACAAGAGAUGGAAGCAUUGAGAAAUAGCAUCGCUACAAGUUUCAUGAAUGCAUCUAAUUAGCUUCUUUUAUAUUGUAGUGAUCUAUUUUGGCAUGUUAAAAUUGAACAAUUUUUGUAUAUUUGUUAUGCUAACCCUCUCCAAAGCCCUCAAAACACAUUGUUAUUAUUAAUAUAACAAUAUUUAGAACUACUUUUGUUACAGUAUUAAUUUAUAAUUUAUGGUAAUAUAUGUGUGCUAAUUGUAGAUUACAAAUUUUGAAAAAUUAAAAAAUGUGCAAAUUAAAAAAGAAAACAAAUUUAUGUAGUGAAGUUUGUUUUUUUUUUAAGUAGAAAAAGAAUGAAGAAAAAAACAAACCGUUUCAUCAUCAUGUCCUUUUCGGUCAUUAUACAUACUUAAAGCACUUCUGAUAAAAAAUUACCAAACACUUUGACUAUUCACAGCAGUUUUUCAUAUACAGGUUACCAAACGCCUAGCUGCUUUUUUUCACAGCUGAUUAUUUUCGCAGCACAGCAAAAACAGUUUUUUUUUAAAAGCACAACAAUGCCAAACUAGCCCUUAGUAACAAACUACCUAAAUGUCGAUUAUAAGAUUUGAAUAUGAGAUUUAUGCAUGCAUGCAUGCACAUUGCCCAUUGAUCAGGUGCAACGGUGCGAUUGGAGUGUAGGGAGGGGGGGAACAUAAAAUCUAGCCAAGAGGCCAAAAGCAACCAGCUUGGACCGUACGUGUUUAAGUUGGACAAAUCUAAGGAGCCUGUGGCUGAUUGUCAAGUGACACUGCUACACAGGCCUGACCCUGAAUGCAAGAUUUCCCACGAAGUCGACCCUAACAACAAAUCGAAAACUGCACCGGUGGCCACCCGGAAGCUCAACCUAUUGGAAGGAGACAACGUCGAUGUCAUCGCACCAAGCCACCGCGUUGCCUACCCUCUUGGUUUGGUUGUUGAGAAAGCUCAUCCCGAGUGUGAGCAGUUCGCCAAAGCGCGCAAGCAUUUUUCAGAACUAAUUUAUGGAAUUGAAGAUGAAAUGUAGACGAAAAUCGUCUGAUAUUAAAUCAAUUUC